This 301-nucleotide ribosomal RNA is filed under the name uncultured bacterium. RNAcentral describes it as "partial 16S ribosomal RNA". It matches the Rfam family "Bacterial small subunit ribosomal RNA", at positions 509 to 807 of the family's 1533-position model. The record is from RNAcentral.
CAGCCGCCACGGGAAUACGGAGGGUGCAAGCGUUAAUCGGAAUUACUGGGCGUAAAGCGCACGCAGGCGGUCUGUCAAGUCAGAUGUGAAAUCCCCGGGCUUAACCUGGGAACUGCAUUUGAAACUGGCAGGCUAGAGUCUUGUAGAGGGGGGUAGAAUUCCAGGUGUAGCGGUGAAAUGCGUAGAGAUCUGGAGGAAUACCGGUGGCGAAGGCGGCCCCCUGGACAAAGACUGACGCUCAGGUGCGAAAGCGUGGGGAGCAAACAGGAUUAGAUACCCGAGUAGUCCCUGUCUCUUAUAC